CCUCUCUCUCUCUCUCUAUCUCUCUUUCUCUCUCCCUUUUUUUAGUAAAGGGAAUUUAGUAAGGAGAAGAGAAUUAAAAGUAAAUAGUAAGGUAUUCUCCUUCAAAAGAUAUGCAAUCACACGAGAUGUGAGCUAGUGAUACUCUUUAAGAGUGCUAGAAGCAGAAAUCCAUAAAAGUAAUCUCCUCAAACGAGUUUUCUAAUCCCCUUUCUCAACCAUUUUAGCCUAUUCUUUUAUCUUAAGCUAAUCUCUACAAUGAACUUUCUUAGAAUUAUUCUUCAUUUCAGUGUUUAUCAGAAAUUAUUGGACCCCUAUCAAUUUGCAAUCUAGAUAACAAAAUCCAAAUUAUGGCUCAUUAGCAAUUUGGAAUGGACAAAUUAGCUUUUUGAGAUGCAAACAACCAUAGGUAGAGAAUCAAACCACCUUAAUCACAUAGAUAUUAGAUAAUUUGGUUAUUAUUAUGGUGAAAAUCUUAGGUUUUGGAUAAUUUUUAUACCAUUAAAAAUAGUUAGCAUAAUUGAAAUUAUUUUAUUACAGUAUAUUAGAAAAUUUUUGCAGUUAUUCUUAUACGGUAUUUUGCUUAUGUUUCAUUAUAUAUGCAAUCCUAAAAGGUACGUUACAUUGCUGAUAAUUGUAUUUCUUCACACUAAGGGUCUGUAAAGCCUACUCCCACCAAACCAAAUUUCUAGAAGAGGACAUUUGUGUUGCCAUUUUCAUUCCUUGUAUUGAAGUCAUUCAACGCUUCAAGCAACCUAGCUUCAAAUGACCUCCUAUAUAUAUAGAUAUAUAUAUUAAACAUUUGUUACUAAAAAACUUCUGCAUUCUGAUUCUUCAACCAUCUUUAAGACGUUAUGACAUUUCAUUUUAUUUGAUAUACUUAAAAUGCUUCCAAACACCCACCAGCACCUCCUCGCUGCAAGUGGCAGUUAUGGGCCUUGUCUAUUCAUUUCCUUGUCAAAUUCAUGUUUUAUUGUAAAUUGUGAAUUUUCAUUCCAUAGUAAUUCAUUAUGUUGCAGCUGCAACAGCAAGAAAAAGUAUUAGCAGUAGUUGGAUGAUGAUUGUUCCUCCACAUAUUUACAUCCAAUCAAAUCCUCAUCCAGAGCUAGCAAGUGUUCUAAAAGAACUGGAGUUAGUUUCUCUGGAUUUGUUUUUCCUUCUUGAUGCAUUUGCUUGUAAGGCAUGUUGGACCUUAAUAACCCUGCAUCUCCUUUUCUCAAUAGCGCUGAGAUAUUCAAUAAAAUUCAUAUGUUGCUUAUUGCUUUUCUGUUUAUGGUCCUUUGACUGAUCAAUUUUCCUGACAUUGUUAUUGCUCUAAUUGGCUGAUUCAAAGAACUUGAUUGAUUUUUCCCUGUUCUUGCCCAUCUAAAAGUUCAUAUGCUGUGCUUUCCUGGUUUUUUUUUUUUUUCCUCCUAGCAUUUCUUUGUCUAAGGCAAUAUUACAUUUUCUCUGUGGCACUGCUUCCAUUUCCAUUAGUUAUUUGUAUGCCACCAAAAUAAUAUCUACCCAAUUAGCAUGCAUGGUUUUAAAAGUUGAUUUUGAUAUUUUUCCUUUUCAGAUUGAUUUUUUGAAUAAAUUGGAAGAAUUGGGUUGAGAUUCUUUACAUGCUUUAUUUGUGAUUGAAGGAUGUAGACACCAUUUGAGCAACUGGCAUUUUGGGGACUCUAAAUGGAUAAUUCCCCUUAUGUCAGGCCUGAUGCAGGCCAGGUUGGUUCAAUAUGGAUAAAAAAUCUGCCGGACUACUAAAAUUUUUUGCCACAUCAAACACUUCAAAUCUAGAAGAAAAUUACAGGAAUUGUUGACAUUUGCUUGUUCCUUGUCAAGUAUUCUUUGGAGGAUGUUUGCACCAUUAUGCAUUAUAAAUAUCAUUCAUAGUUUAGUUAGAAAAUAAUUUACAUUCUUCAUGACACUCCUUUUUCCCUUUUGAAGUUCUUCUGUGUCACUGUUGAAAUAUGAGCAUGUAGAAUAUUUUGUCAUCUGGAAAUUCUAGCACAAGGUUUCCCAACAUAUUAGCAAUUCCCAACAGCAUUGUAUCUAGGGGUGGCAAUUCGGGUUGAUGGAUCGUGUUCGUGUUGUGUCAACACGCGAUACGAAUACGAUUAAGAUCGACAUGAACACGAUACGAUUAAUAAAUCGUGUCAAAAAUUUAAACAC
Molecule: unclassified non-coding RNA, 2151 nt
Filed under: Hevea brasiliensis (rubber tree)
Lineage: Eukaryota; Viridiplantae; Streptophyta; Magnoliopsida; Malpighiales; Euphorbiaceae
Source: RNAcentral